Molecule: long non-coding RNA, 365 nt
Filed under: Gossypium raimondii (Peruvian cotton)
Lineage: Eukaryota; Viridiplantae; Streptophyta; Magnoliopsida; Malvales; Malvaceae
Description: long non-coding RNA (GRAI_LNC005535)
Source: RNAcentral
UGUUAUCCAAUUUAGACCAAAAUAUUAUAUCUGUUGAAAAAAUUCUAGCCAAUAAUAAACCAUCGUAUAAUAUAAACUUAAAAUAUAUUUUUUAAUUUCUUCUUUUUUACAUUAAUCUCUCUUUAUUUUUUUCUAUUUUUUUCUUUUUCUUUCUUCUUUCUUUAUAAUGUCUGAUAAUGCCAACAAUGCUUGAAAUUUGCCCUUCUGUGCUAGAGACGCUGGCGAUUAAUUCUAUUUUCAAAGUUCACCACAUACUUGCUCUACUUGAUGGGAUUGAAAAUGGUAGUUCAUUCCAAACCAAAAUUUUCAUAAUUGGAUUAGGAACCAGUCGGGGUAUCAGUCCUAAGAUAGGGGUUAAACCGAUU